Molecule: ribosomal RNA, 443 nt
Filed under: uncultured Acetobacteraceae bacterium
Lineage: Bacteria; Pseudomonadati; Pseudomonadota; Alphaproteobacteria; Acetobacterales; Acetobacteraceae
Description: bacterial SSU rRNA
Rfam family: Bacterial small subunit ribosomal RNA
Source: RNAcentral
UCCCUACGGGCGGCUGCAGUGGGGAAUAUUGGACAAUGGGCGCAAGCCUGAUCCAGCAAUGCCGCGUGAGUGAAGAAGGUCUUCGGAUUGUAAAGCUCUUUCGACGGGGACGAUGAUGACGGUACCCGUAGAAGAAGCCCCGGCUAACUUCGUGCCAGCAGCCGCGGUAAUACGAAGGGGGCUAGCGUUGCUCGGAAUGACUGGGCGUAAAGGGCGCGUAGGCGGUUUGUACAGUCAGAUGUGAAAUUCCCGGGCUCAACCUGGGGGCUGCAUUUGAUACGUGCAGACUAGAGUGAGGAAGAGGGUUGUGGAAUUCCCAGUGUAGAGGUGAAAUUCGUAGAUAUUGGGAAGAACACCGGUGGCGAAGGCGGCAACCUGGUCCUUGACUGACGCUGAGGCGCGAAAGCGUGGGGAGCAAACAGGAUUAGAUACCCUAGUAGUCG